GUGUCUGUGGGGCUCUGGACUCUGUAUCUGGAACUGGUGGCGUCGGCCCAGGUCGGCGGGAACCCCUUGAACCGGAGGUACGGCAGCUGGAGAGAACUGGCCAAGGCUCUGGCCAGCAGGAACAUUCCAGCUGUGGAUCCACACCUCCAGUUCUACCAUCCCCAGAGGCUGAGCCUCAAGGACCAUGACAUUGACCAAGCAGGGAGCCGUAACAGCAGCUACUUGAAGUGGAACAGGCCUGUCCCCUGGCUCUCAGAGUUCCGGGGCCGUGCCAACCUGCAUGUGUUUGAGGACUGGUGUGGCAGCUCUAUCCAGCAGCUCAGGAGGAACCUGCAUUUCCCACUGUACCCCCACAUUCGCACAACCCUGAGGAAGCUUGCUGUGUCCCCUAAAUGGACCAACUAUGGCCUCCGCAUCUUUGGCUACCUGCACCCCUUUACUGAUGGGAAAAUCCAGUUUGCCAUUGCUGCAGAUGACAACGCGGAGUUCUGGCUGAGUCUCGAUGACCAGGUCUCAGGCCUCCAGCUGCUGGCCAGUGUGGGCAAGACUGGGAAGGAGUGGACCGCCCCGGGAGAGUUCGGGAAAUUUCGGAGCCAGAUUUCCAAGCCAGUGAGGUGAGUAAGGGUCACGACAGACGUGAGCACCUCAGUGCUGAGGCCGGGUCUCGGCGGCCUACUCCAGGGGCCCCGCGUGUCCGGCACCC
Molecule: small RNA, 703 nt
Filed under: Pongo abelii (Sumatran orangutan)
Lineage: Eukaryota; Metazoa; Chordata; Mammalia; Primates; Hominidae
Description: retained intron
Source: RNAcentral